Molecule: long non-coding RNA, 1179 nt
Organism: Colius striatus (speckled mousebird)
Lineage: Eukaryota; Metazoa; Chordata; Aves; Coliiformes; Coliidae
Exons: 2
Source: RefSeq, a predicted model, not a curated record
UGUGCAAGAUGGACACAGAGUGGCUGUUCUGGGAGCAGUGCACCACACAACUUCUGCUAUCAGCUGUCUGCCAGCAGCUGCUGGACACUUGGUUUGAGGCUCUAGGCUAAGCUGCAGGACACAGAUAAGCCAAGUAUUUCCUUUACUCCCCUCUUCCUCCCUGCCCUAUACUCGAACUGACAAGGCAUGAUCUACAACAUACAACACCAUGAAGAUCACAGGAUCUUAAGGGCUGGAAGGGACCUUGAAGGAUCAUCCAGCCCAACCCCUCUGCCAGAGCAGGACCACCUAGUUUUGAUUAAAGUUUUCCUCUCCAAUUCCAAAGAGAGAAUUUUAUACAAAAAGAUGCCCCACUGAAGCAAAAUCUGAGUGUUUUAUCUGCUGUGUUCUGGGAAACAGCCUGUCAGAGGUUCUACACCAGGAUCUUUUCCUACAAAACACUGUGGAUCUGCCAGCAGUUGAAGCUUCAGAAGAAGAGAUCAUAAAGCAAACACAAUGCAAACAGCAACAGAUAGUCAAGAUUAGACACUGCUCACCAGAGGGACUGAAAGAACUACUUAGAAAACAGUGGCUCCAGGAUACCAUCAUCUUCAUCCCUGUAGCCAUAGUAUUCUGCAUCAAUGGAUUUCAUAAGCUCAGCUCGAGUUUUCCGAGGUGGUGGGAGGGCUGAAAGAACAUGACUGUCAUUCCCUGAGUCCCUACGAGAUUGCUGGGCAUACAAUAAGAGACUGGGAGGGGCUGGAAGGCAUUUGGGGCUCCUAUGGACCUCCCAGCAGCAACAGGCACCUUGCUCAGGCACCAGUGCUCCAUACUGCACAAUUCCCAGCCCAUGGCAAUUCUACACUCAUGUGUGGGCAUUUCCCCACCAAUACUGAGCAAGACUACUGUAUGCAAGCAAAUAAAGAACUAUCCCACGCUGCCCCAGACCAUCCUGUACUUGCCACAACUUGCCUGUGCAGCUGGCAAGGAGCUGAUUCAGCAGGCAUGCCUCGUUUUUCAGGCCCAAGCAAUUCCCACUCCUUCUAUGACAAACCCAAACAAAGCUUUAUCCCCUUACACAUGGUUUUGCCUCAUGUGAAAGCUGAUUCCUUCUUCUACAAUUAUAUUCAAGCAAACAUUCUGAACUCUGAAUACAACUUAGAACUAAUCAAUAAAGUCAUCUUGAAGCUUUCUAUAGAA